This 204-nucleotide ribosomal RNA is filed under the name uncultured bacterium. RNAcentral describes it as "partial 16S ribosomal RNA". It matches the Rfam family "Bacterial small subunit ribosomal RNA", at positions 568 to 774 of the family's 1533-position model. The record is from RNAcentral.
AGCGCAGGUGGUUUAUUAAGUCUGGUGUAAAAGGCAGUGGCUCAACCAUUGUAUGCAUUGGAAACUGGUAGACUUGAGUGCAGGAGAGGAGAGUGGAAUUCCAUGUGUAGCGGUGAAAUGCGUAGAUAUAUGGAGGAACACCGGUGGCGAAAGCGGCUCUCUGGCCUGUAACUGACACUGAGGCUCGAAGGCUGGGAGCAAACA